Molecule: ribosomal RNA, 139 nt
Filed under: uncultured eukaryote
Lineage: Eukaryota
Description: partial 18S ribosomal RNA
Rfam family: Eukaryotic small subunit ribosomal RNA
Source: RNAcentral
AUACAAAACCAAUGCCCUUCGGGGCUCUCUUGGUGAUUCAUGAUAACUUCUCGAAUCGCACGGCCCCGCGCCGGCGAUGGUUCAUUCAAAUUUCUUCCCCAUCAACUUUCGAUGCUACGGUAUUGUCCUAGCAUGGUUG